UUUGGAGUUGCUCACAAGUGGGUGGUUCGUGAUAAGUUGGGUAGAACUAAGUGUUGCAAGUGCUCACAAGUAGGCUUUUUUGUUUGAACCAAGGCGAGGUGUGGGGAAUUGUGAGAUAUGUGCCUUAGGAGACUGUGUAAUCUCUUACAGGAUAGUUGUAAUCGCUUACCAGGGAAAAUAUUAAGUUUUGUACCGAAAGUUGGUGGCUGCUCCCUGGGUUUUUUGGAGUUGCUCACAAGUGGGUGGUUCGUGAUAAGUUAGGUAGAACUAGGUGUUGCAAGUGCUCACAAGUAUGCUUUUUUGUUUGAACCAAGGUGAGGCGUGGUGCUCACCCUGUAAGCGAUUACAAUAGCACCAGGCCAGUGCCAUUGCUGCAGGAACUUACAUUCCAACCCACAGAAACUCUACUUCGUCUUCC
This 418-nucleotide long non-coding RNA is filed under the name Vigna radiata. Its description in RNAcentral is "long non-coding RNA (VRAD_LNC000412)". The record is from RNAcentral. Lineage: Eukaryota; Viridiplantae; Streptophyta; Magnoliopsida; Fabales; Fabaceae.